RNAcentral lists this ribosomal RNA (332 nucleotides) under uncultured eukaryote. RNAcentral describes it as "partial 18S ribosomal RNA". It matches the Rfam family "Eukaryotic small subunit ribosomal RNA", at positions 1470 to 1796 of the family's 1831-position model. The record is from RNAcentral.
CCCUUAGAUGUUCUGGGCCGCACGCGCGCUACACUGUUCGACGCAGCGAGUCUUAACCUUGACCGAAAGGUUUGGGUAAUCUUCAGCAAAGUCGAACGUGAUGGGGAUCGAUCAUUGCAAUUAUUGAUCGUGAACGAGGAAUUCCUAGUAAGUGCAAGUCAUCAGCUUGCGCUGAUUACGUCCCUGCCCUUUGUACACACCGCCCGUCACUACUACCGAUUGAAUGGUUUAGUGAGAUCUCUGGAUUGACGCUGGCUAGGGGGCGACCCUUGGCCAGACUGCUCGAGAAACUGCUCAAACUUGAUCAUUUAGAGGAAGUAAAAGUCGUAACA